GCGAAGCUAUAUGUGGAGCGGUGAAAGGCUCAGUAACGGGCGAUUUAUUUAAUCUCCUGGGACGGACAACAUCGGGAAACUGAUGGGAAAACGUCUAAGUUGCAUUAAUUUUAGUGUGACGUAAACGGAUACGUGCAGGAGAGUAAGAUGCCAUCCUAUCAGUUAGUAAGUAGGGUAAGGGCCUACUUAGACGAAGACGGGUACGGGGAAUGAGGGUUUGAUUCCGGAGAGGGAGCCUGAGAGAUGGCUACCAGGACCAAGGUCAGCAGCAGGCGCGAAAAUUAUCGAAGCCCGCCUAGGGGCGAUAGUGAGGAGACGUGUAUAACGAAGUACGUGUAAAGAACGUACUAAUAACUGGAGGUCAAGUCUGGUGCCAGCAUCCGCGGUAAUUCCAGCUCCAGGGGUGUCUAUGAUGAUUGCUGCGAUUAAAAAGUCCGUAGUCAAGCUGACUGACUGACCUGCAAUGUGAUUGAUUAAGGAACGAGCAGGGUUAGGAAAGCAGAGAAUUAGGAGCGACCGAGGGCUAGAGUAUUGAAUGGCGAGAGGUGAAAUUUGAUGACCCAUUCAGGAGUGACAAAGGCGAAGGCACUAGUCAAGGGCGAAUCCGAUGAUCAAGGACGUAGGCUAGAGUUUCGAAAACGAUUAGAGACCGGAGUAGUUCUAGCAGUAAACUAUGCCGACGCCGUGAUAUAGUUUUUUGUGGCUGUAUUGCGGAAGAGAAAUCAAGUAAGGCUUUGGGGAGAGUACGCGCGCAAGCGAUAAAUUUAAAGGAAAUUGACGGAGGAACACCACAAGGAGUGGAGUG
Molecule: ribosomal RNA, 805 nt
Filed under: Dictyocoela muelleri
Lineage: Eukaryota; Fungi; Microsporidia
Description: partial small subunit ribosomal RNA
Rfam family: Microsporidia small subunit ribosomal RNA
Source: RNAcentral